AUUGAACGCUAACGGCGUGCUUAACACAUGCAAGUCGAGCGGCAGCAUGACUGUAGCAAUACAGUUGAUGGCGAGCGGCGGACGGGUGAGUAAUGCAUAGGAAUCUGCCUUGUAGUGGGGGAUAACCCGGGGAAACUCGGGCUAAUACCGCAUAAUCUCUACGGAGCAAAGUGGGGGACCUUCGGGCCCUACGCUAAAAGAUGAGCCUAUGUUGGAUUAGCUAGUUGGUAGGGUAAAGGCCUACCAAGGCAACGAUCCAUAGCUGGUCUGGGAGGAUGAUCAGCCACACUGGGACUGGGACACGGCCCAGAAUCCUACGGGAGGCAGCAGUGGGGGAUAUUAGACAAUGGGCGAAAGCCUGAUCCAGCAACGCCGUGUGUGUGAAGAAGGCCUUCGGGUUGUAAAGCACUUUUAGUGGGGAAGAAAAGUUCAUGGCUAAUAUCCAUGAAUGCUGACGUUACCCACAGAAAAAGCACUGGCUAACUCUGUGCCAGCCGCCGCCGUAA
RNAcentral lists this ribosomal RNA (506 nucleotides) under uncultured bacterium. RNAcentral describes it as "partial 16S ribosomal RNA". It matches the Rfam family "Bacterial small subunit ribosomal RNA", at positions 30 to 523 of the family's 1533-position model. The record is from RNAcentral.